Camelina sativa (false flax) is the source of this 198-nucleotide non-coding RNA. NCBI's taxonomy places the organism in Eukaryota, Viridiplantae, Streptophyta, Magnoliopsida, Brassicales, Brassicaceae. The record is from RefSeq and is a predicted model, not a curated record.
UUUCGUCCGACGAAUCCAUCCGCGUUAUCAUCUAGAAGAUUAUCCCCCGGUUUCGAAGUGAAAGGAGGGUCACUUGAAGACAGCAACACAACACGGGAAGUCACGGAGCAGUUGAGAAUCAUUGAGUCAAAGAUGGGCCAAGACUACAGCUACUCUCAGCCUGAUUCGUCAGAUCAACAUGGUAGAUACUCUGACGAC